AUAUAUAUAUAGUGAAGAGGAAGGUUGUCUACUUUUGCAUCGUGGGAGUCAUUGGGCAGUUGAGGGAAAUUUUGGGAUUUACUGUGUGGAAGUUUGGUUACGGCUAUUUUGAGUUGUUCCAAUUAUCUAGAGGGUGUUGGUUAAAGUGGUAAAAUAUUUUGGGCUUUAAAGAAUUGCAGCACGAUGAACUUGCCAUCAGUGAUGAAUUAUUGUCAGCAAAAGAGAUGAAGGUUCUAAAGAAGUGAAGUGGAUCUUUUAUUUACCCAGAGCAUGCAUGAUAUUCUUUGUCAUGGACAUCACUUGGAUCAAUGUGUGAGUUUUACUUGUCUAGUAUCUUCAAUAUCUUUUGCAUAUUCUAUUAAGGAGGCACAUACUUUUGAUAACAUUGUUUAGUUUAGAUCCUUGUUUCCAUAAUCAGUAUGAGUCAUCUGGAGUUCCCUGGAGUGGUUCCUCACACUUUUAUUGGAGCCUUGAAGACGUCCAUUUUGGCAUUUACAAAGUAUAUUGGACAUGAACGUUGUUGCACUUGCCGCUGCAGACUUGUGGAUAGUUUGUAGGUUGAAAAGUUAGCUACUCAUAUAUCAUGGAGUGGUUGAUGGGCCACUUAGGGAUUUGAUUGACAAUCCAAGAUGCUGUGCCUCAUGAUCAGAUCUUCCCUGCAUUUUCUACAUAAGCCAGGCAGCAGUUUUCUAAAGCUCCAUUACUAUCUUGGACUUCAUGGUAACUUCUCAAUACAUCAAUACAAAAAUGAAAAAAGUCAUUUGCAUUCAGUCUUCAAGAUUCAAGGAGUGGUCGUGGAUGUAACGCGUCAUUUUCGUUAAUGGUGAAUGGUGAUUCUGAAGUAAACUGCAGCAUAACAGAUUGAUGUUUGUCCAAAUGGAAAUAUCAAAUAUCCCACAAGUAUAAGGGCAUUGAUGCAAUCUUGUAAGGAGAUGUUCUGCCCACCCCUCAUGUCCAGGUGCAUAUUGUUAUAUUUGACCAGAUACACUACUAAAUGUGACGCCCCCAGAUUCCGCUUGGGAUCGGACAGACAUCUGAAGUGUCGGGACAUGCA
Juglans regia (Persian walnut) is the source of this 1054-nucleotide long non-coding RNA. RefSeq lists it as uncharacterized. The record is from RefSeq and is a predicted model, not a curated record. The transcript has 6 exons. Lineage: Eukaryota; Viridiplantae; Streptophyta; Magnoliopsida; Fagales; Juglandaceae.